Molecule: non-coding RNA, 85 nt
Organism: Bombyx mori (domestic silkworm)
Lineage: Eukaryota; Metazoa; Arthropoda; Insecta; Lepidoptera; Bombycidae
Source: Rfam
UUAACUCAAAUUUGUAUGGAGUUGGAACAGCUUCUGUUCGUUUGCCGCUAGGGGCGCUGUUCCAACUUCAUACAAAUUUAAGUUA